RNAcentral lists this long non-coding RNA (335 nucleotides) under Mytilus galloprovincialis (Mediterranean mussel). Lineage: Eukaryota; Metazoa; Mollusca; Bivalvia; Mytilida; Mytilidae. The record is from RNAcentral.
GCGGGAUUUAUUUUAAAUUACUUUAAAUUCGGGACCUCUGGAUUUCAUUUUUUAAAGUCCGGGAUUUCGAAAUCAGGACCCCUCCUAUUUUUUUAGUAGGUAUAUAGUAGUAGUAUGAUAUAGAGAUGAUCGAUAUAAUCUCGUUCUCGACCUUCAAGUUUUAUGGGUGAAAUAGAAUUGAGAACAGUUCUAUUCUAUAUUUGAGAUGCUACUUUCAGGGUACAUUUUUUUUUUAUUCGGUUAAUUUUUACCCAUAUAUUAUAUAUAAUUUUUAUAUAGAACAAUUUCCUUUGAGGAGACAACCAUACGAAUCAAUACUAGUAAGACAAUUCUUU